GUGUUUUUGAUUGAGAUUAAUAUUUCAAUCUGCAGACAGAGAAAAGAUUACCCUUCCCAAUGUGUGUGGGCAUCAUCCAGUCCACUGAAAGCCAGACCAGAAUUUCCAUUAUCAGCUCUCCUGGGUUGCCAUCUGAUAAUCUUUGGAUUUCUCCAUAUCAUGCCCUCAAAUACAGCCACAUUCUGGGACCACAAAUUAUGAACAUAUGAAUUUUUGACACUGGAGACUGUGAAAGCAAAUCAGCCCAGGGUCUAAUUGGUGUCAGGCUCCGUACAUGAACACGAUGGUGGAGGUAAUUACCUACAGUUCUGGGAGCACCCAGAGAACAAAGUAAUUAAUUCAUUAGGCCAGAGGGUUAUUAGAGAGACUCCACAGAGAAGGCUAAAAGGAAACAUUGCACAGGAGCGGCAGGGCAGGAAGCAUGCUUUAUGAAGAUUUACCCGGCAGCAGGUACGAAGUUGGCAGAAGAGACAGGAGGAUGACGCUGAGAAGGGAAGGGCUCGAGGCAUAAAACAGUUAACAAACUGUUGAAGCUGUCUUGGGGAGAGGUAAUUAAUUCCACUCAGCUGUUAGUUGGUGUUCUGACUGUACACAUUUAGAAUGAUGGGCUUUGACAGGCCCAAUGCUGUUUUGCAGUAUAGAUGGUAAAAUAGUCAUUUCAUAGAAAAAUCAAUACGGAAUCUUUUUGCCUAAUUGAUCCCUAAGCUCUCAACUUCUGCCUCCACUCCCAGCACUGCUCCCUUAAAUCACACCCCUUCCCCGUCCUCUUCUCACCCUCUGCUUCACUGUGCACCAUCUCCCUCUUAGGGCAAACAGCAUGAACAUGUAGUUGUUAUUAGUUGACUUUGUGUGGCUGAAGGCCAGUGAACAAUUGCAUCCUUCUCAUCUCACCUGUCUCCCAUCACACCGACUGGAGACAUCAGAACAGGCAGCCAUCUCCAGAAUACAUCAGCCCCUCCAGGACCUGCUCAGGUUGGCAGAUUCCUGCUUGGGAACCAAGAGCUAUGGGCAGAAGGGCUAGCUGUCAGCAGCAGGAAACUUCCCACGUCAGAGGGCUCCCGCCAUCCCGACCCCAUGUCUUCUGAGCUGGAGAUCCCUCGCUGCCCAUCCACAUGGCACCCUGAGGCUCUAGCUCCCACCACUGCCCCAAAUCCUCACACUCGGGGCUCGGGGCCAGGUGCACAGGCCUCAGAGCUGGCAGAAAGGGAGCUGCCUGCAGCCAGGAAGGUAUUUUCUUUACCAGCCCACCCAAAUGUUGUUUGGCUGGCAUUGCCUCUGAGCUUUUCAGAAAUGAAAAAGAGGGAUAGGGAAGUGGGAGCCCUGGUGGGCUCUGGAACCCUUUCUGUUUUCUCAAGGGCAUCGCAGUAGGUCCAAAAUGUCUCUGGGUUUGAAAGUGAAAUGCCGGCACAGAGCAGAUUCCUGAUGAAUGUGGCCCAGAUGUUUCUAAGUGAUUUAUUUUUGUUAAUGGAAAAUGGCUGAGCUAAUAACUCUCAGAAACAUUUCUGUAGGGAGAGUUGAAGCCUGUUUUGCCUCUGUGCUUCUUGUUUUUGCUUGUGGUUUACUUUUAGGGAAGAAAUUGGAUGUAGGAAAAAGUCCAAAUAACAACUUUGUCUAUGCGACAGCUGAUGCCAAAAUCCCAGGCAUAGCUUUUGUGACCUGAUUUCUACCAAUUAUUGACCAUUCACUGAGGCCCAAGUUCUUCUCGUCAAUUACCUCAUUUAAUCCUUAUGGCAAAGAGGAGACCAAGGCUCAGAGCGAUGACAUGUCCUACCCAGCCAGAGCCACACAGUCUAUGACAGCAUGACUGAGAAUUGAACCUCAAGUUUUGACUCCAGAUCAAAACCACCAUACUCUAUAGGGAAAUAGCAAAGAAAAUACAAGGGUUAAAAGAUACCAUGAGAGGCUGGGUGCAGUGGAUCAUGCCUGUAAUCCCAGUACCUUGGGAGGCCGAGGUGGGCUGAGUACCUGAGGCCAGGAAUUCGAGACCAGCCUGACCAAUAUGACAAAACCCUGUCUCUAC
This is a non-coding RNA of Callithrix jacchus (white-tufted-ear marmoset), 2020 nucleotides long. NCBI's taxonomy places the organism in Eukaryota, Metazoa, Chordata, Mammalia, Primates, Cebidae. The record is from RefSeq and is a predicted model, not a curated record.